RNAcentral lists this ribosomal RNA (428 nucleotides) under uncultured bacterium. Its description in RNAcentral is "partial 16S ribosomal RNA". It matches the Rfam family "Bacterial small subunit ribosomal RNA", at positions 354 to 796 of the family's 1533-position model. The record is from RNAcentral.
GUAGGGAAUAUUGGACAAUGGGGGCAACCCUGAUCCAGCGACGCCGCGUGAGUGACGAAGGCCUUCGGGUCGUAAAGCUCUGUUGCAAGGGAAAAACAAAAUGAUGGUACCUUGCUAGAAAGGAUCGGCUAACUUCGUGCCAGCAGCCGCGGUAAGACGAGGGAUCCUAGCGUUGUUCGGAAUUAUUGGGCGUAAAGCGGGUGUAGGUGGCUUUGUAAGUCAGGUGUGAAAGCCUGGGGCUUAACCCCAGAAGUGCAUUUGAUACUGCGAUGCUUGAGUGCUGGAGAGGCUACUAGAAUUCUUGGUGUAGUGGUGAAAUACGUAGAUAUCAAGAGGAAUACCGGAGGCGAAGGCGGGUAGCUGGCCAGACACUGACACUCAGACCCGAAAGCGUGGGGAUCAAACAGGAUUAGAAACCCGUGUAGUCC